This 152-nucleotide unclassified non-coding RNA is filed under the name uncultured fungus. Its description in RNAcentral is "sequence contains ITS1, 5.8S rRNA gene". The record is from RNAcentral. Lineage: Eukaryota; Fungi.
CAAGAGUGAGGGCCCUCGCGGCCCGAACCUCCAACCCCAUGUUGUCCGACUCUGUUGCCUCGGGGGCGACCCGGCCCUUCUGGGCGACGGGGCCCCCGGUGGUCCAUCUCAACCCUGCAUCUGUGCGUCUGAGUAAAUAUUUGAAUCAAUCA